AAAAGCCGGGACCUCUAAGCGGAGGUCAGUUAUCCCUGCGCUGGUCUCUGCAACCAUGAAGUGGAACGUCCUUAUCAUCAUGGUCUUGAUGGCUAUCCUGGCGGCCUAUGUUGAAGCGAAGGCGUGCUGUCGUCACCACCACCGUGGCGGCGGCGGAGGAUUUGGUGGCGGCGGAGGCUUCGGAGGGGGAGGAUUUGGAGGUGGAUUUGGAGGUGGCGGAGGCUGGGGCAAGUAACUGCAAGGAGCCUCUAACGAAUACCAGACCCCCCCAACCUGUCCAAUGGCAAACACCUUAUUACCUUUCCUGUCUGAUGGAGAACACCUCAUGACAUCCCAUUCUGAUUGGAAACAAAUACUGAUCAUCCUGGGUGAUGGAGCACAACUCACACCUCUGUCUGACAGAGACCUUCUCACCACCUACAACUCUCGCAUUUACACCAAAACCUGACAAAUGAUUAUUUCCAUUUUCUUUUGUUUCUAGUGCUGUCAUCACAUGACAACUCUCUUCUCCGAAACUGUCACUAGUUAUGGAGAAGAAAUGUUUAAAUUUGUUAAACAUUUUCGUAAUAAAUUGCUUGUCUCCUA
Molecule: long non-coding RNA, 585 nt
Organism: Procambarus clarkii (red swamp crayfish)
Lineage: Eukaryota; Metazoa; Arthropoda; Malacostraca; Decapoda; Cambaridae
Source: RefSeq, a predicted model, not a curated record